This 583-nucleotide ribosomal RNA is filed under the name Aspergillus westerdijkiae. RNAcentral describes it as "partial 18S ribosomal RNA". The stretch from base 202 to 355 matches the Rfam family "5.8S ribosomal RNA". Lineage: Eukaryota; Fungi; Ascomycota; Eurotiomycetes; Eurotiales; Aspergillaceae. The record is from RNAcentral.
UUCCGUAGGGGUGACCUGCGGAAGGAUCAUUACUGAGUGAGGGUCCCUCGGGGCCCAACCUCCCACCCGUGUAUACCGUACCUUGUUGCUUCGGCGAGCCCGCCCCCCUUCCUUAGGGGUGGCACAGCGCUCGCCGGAGACACCAACGUGAACACUGUCUGAAGUUUUGUCGUCUGAGUCGAUUGUAUCGCAAUCAGUUAAAACUUUCAACAAUGGAUCUCUUGGUUCCGGCAUCGAUGAAGAACGCAGCGAAAUGCGAUAAUUAAUGUGAAUUGCAGAAUUCAGUGAAUCAUCGAGUCUUUGAACGCACAUUGCACCCCCUGGUAUUCCGGGGGGUAUGCCUGUCCGAGCGUCAUUGCUGCCCUCAAGCACGGCUUGUGUGUUGGGUCGUCGUCCCCCCCGGGGGACGGGCCCGAAAGGCAGCGGCGGCACCGCGUCCGGUCCUCGAGCGUAUGGGGCUUUGUCACCCGCUCUUGUAGGCCCGGCCGGCUGCUGGCCGACGCUGAAAAGCAACCAAUCUAUUUCAUCAGGUUGACCUCGGAUCAGGUAGGGAUACCCGCUGAACUUAAGCAUAUCAAAAAGC